GCCGCCCCAUUUAAUGUGUAUGUUGGGGCCUAGUCCCUCAUCCAGCGACUGUCAACACAACACCUCAGUCGUUACACCAAGAGAUAUGAAACCCUUGACAAGGUUGCUAGGUGUUGGGUUAAGGUCACUACAGUAUAAACUCAGUAUAGACCAGGUUAUGAGGUUGCUAGGUGUUGGGAUAAGGUCACUACAGUAUAAACUCAGUAUAGACCAGGUUAUGAGGUUGCUAGGUGUUGGGUUAAGGUCACUACAGUAUAAACUCAGUAUAGACCAGGUUAUGAGGUUGCUAGGUGUUGGGUUAAGGUCACUACAGUAUUAACUCAGUAUAAACCAGGUUAUGAGGUUGCUAGGUGUUGGGUUAAGGUCACUACAGUACAAACUCAGUAUAGACCAGGUUAUGAGGUUGCUAGGUGUUGGGUUAAGGUCACUACAGUACAAACUCAGUAUAGACCAGGUUAUGAGGUUGCUAGGUGUUGGGUUAAGGUCACUACAGUAUAAACUCAGUAUAAACCAGGUUAUGAGGUUGCUAGGUGUUGGGUUAAGGUCACUACAGUAUUAACUCAGUAUAAACCAGGUUAUGAGGUUGCUAGGUGUUGGGUUAAGGUCACUACAGUAUAAACUAGGUUAUGGGGACUGUCUGGUAAUUAGUCAAAUAUUAGGCUGUAAUGAUC
This 671-nucleotide long non-coding RNA is filed under the name Salmo salar (Atlantic salmon). Its description in RNAcentral is "lncRNA (ENSSSAG00000084467.1, ENSSSAG00000120469.1)". The record is from RNAcentral. Lineage: Eukaryota; Metazoa; Chordata; Actinopteri; Salmoniformes; Salmonidae.